This is a long non-coding RNA of Zeugodacus cucurbitae (melon fly), 656 nucleotides long. RefSeq lists it as uncharacterized. The transcript is spliced from 2 exons. Lineage: Eukaryota; Metazoa; Arthropoda; Insecta; Diptera; Tephritidae. The record is from RefSeq and is a predicted model, not a curated record.
AUAUGUGGAACGCUUUCUGUGCACAGGGUUGCACUCACAUGAAAAAUUUGUUGUGAAAAAUAAUUGAAAGAUAAAUGCAUUAGAGGAAAUAGAUAUAACUUGCAUAAAAAUAAAUAAGUAUAGAAAACUAAAACCAUACUCCACCACCACGGCUCUCACCAUUUGUAUGUUUUAACAAAUUACUAAGAUUUUAUUCAAGAAAACAUCGAAUCCAUCAUAUAAUUUUGACGUUCACGGCGGUUGGACUCGUCUUGUCGGAAUUCACGCAACUCCUCAUAGACUGGGUCAUCUGUUUCCAAUUCAUAACGACACAUUGGGCAUGAGUUUGCCUAGAAGAAGUGAGCAAAGCAUAAAAGGAAUAAUAAUAACAAACAAAACCAAAAUAAAGCAUGAGCAACAAACACAUUUCACCCAUCUUCUGAGCACACAUCCAACUAAAUAUGUACAUAGAUAUGAUUAUUUACCUUUUUCAACCACAACAGCACACACUCCUCGUGAAACUCGUGCUUACACGGUAAAACUUUAUACUUUUCAUCGAUCUCCGCCGGCUGCUUGCAAACGGCACAUUCCAACUCCUGCUUAACAUCCGCCUCGACAAUAACAUGCUCCGGCAGUGUGGCGAUUGCGCGUUUAGACGCCUCCGGCACCUCAAUUUC